RNAcentral lists this ribosomal RNA (447 nucleotides) under uncultured bacterium. RNAcentral's name for it is "partial 16S ribosomal RNA". It matches the Rfam family "Bacterial small subunit ribosomal RNA", at positions 29 to 523 of the family's 1533-position model. The record is from RNAcentral.
AGUGAACGCUGGCGGCAGGCUUAACACAUGCAAGUCGAACGCCCCGCAAGGGGAGUGGCAGACGGGUGAGUAACGCGUGGGAAUAUCCCCUUUGGUUCAGGAUAGCCCCGGGAAACUGGGAUUAAUACUGGAUAAGAUCUACGGAUGAAAGAUUUAUCGCCGAAGGAUUAGCCCGCGUAAGAUUAGCUAGUUGGUGAGGUAAUGGCUCACCAAGGCUACGAUCUUUAGCUGGUCUGAGAGGAUGAUCAGCCACACUGGAACUGAGACGCGGUCCAGACUCCUACGGGAGGCAGCAGUGAGGAAUAUUGGACAAUGGGCGCAAGCCUGAUCCAGCCAUGCCGCGUGAGUGAUGAAGGCCCUAGGGUUGUAAAACUCUUUUAGUUGGGAAAAUAAUGAUGGAACCAACAGAAAAAGCUCCGGCUAACUUCGUGCCAGCCGCCGCCGUAA